CGGCGGACGGGUGAGUAAGCGUGGGUAACCUGCCUCAUACAGGGGGAUAACAGUUAGAAAUGACUGCUAAUACCGCAUAAGACCACGGUACCGCAUGGUACAGUGGUAAAAACUCCGGUGGUAUGAGAUGGACCCGCGUCUGAUUAGGUAGUUGGUGGGGUAACGGCCUACCAAGCCGACGAUCAGUAGCCGACCUGAGAGGGUGACCGGCCACAUUGGGACUGAGACACGGCCCAA
RNAcentral lists this ribosomal RNA (237 nucleotides) under uncultured bacterium. RNAcentral describes it as "partial 16S ribosomal RNA". It matches the Rfam family "Bacterial small subunit ribosomal RNA", at positions 96 to 334 of the family's 1533-position model. The record is from RNAcentral.